GGUUGCUUCAUCAAGUAACAGUAUUUUUGGGUCCCGAAGAAGAGCUCUUGCUAUCGCAAUUCGUUGCUUUUGACCUCCAGACAUUUGGAAACCAAACUGACCGACCUGAAAAGAAGUCGACAUACCAAAGUUGAUAACUAGUUUUCGAGCCGUGAAGUCUUAGACAGCAGCCUAAUUCUGUCCAUCAUAAUCUUGCCGAACACAAGCCCUGGACCAAUGAACAUGGCCGAGAGCGGGAUGACUGCAAAGGUGAAUUUCCACGAUACUAUAAAGGCAAAUACGUGGCAGAAGAAGAAUGUUGACAUAGUUUUCCAUAAGAAAAGGCAACAUAACAAAGAGGAGCAAGCCUUACCUUGUCAACCAUAUCGUUUGUCAAGCCACUGUUCUU
Molecule: long non-coding RNA, 388 nt
Organism: Cucurbita maxima (winter squash)
Lineage: Eukaryota; Viridiplantae; Streptophyta; Magnoliopsida; Cucurbitales; Cucurbitaceae
Exons: 4
Source: RefSeq, a predicted model, not a curated record